Molecule: ribosomal RNA, 465 nt
Filed under: uncultured bacterium
Lineage: Bacteria
Description: partial 16S ribosomal RNA
Rfam family: Bacterial small subunit ribosomal RNA
Source: RNAcentral
CCUACGGGAGGCAGCAGUAGGGAAUUUUCGUCAAUGGGCGCAAGCCUGAACGAGCGAUGCCGCGUGAGUGAAGAAGGCCUUCGGGUCGUAAAGCUCUGUUGCGGGGGAAAAAAGGCAGCAUAAGGAAAUGGGUGCUGACUGAUGGUGCCCUGCCAGAAAGUCACGGCUAACUACGUGCCAACAGCCGCGGUAGUACGUAGGGGGCGAGCGUGAUCCGGAAUGGUGGGGCGAAAGGGGUGCGCAGGCGGUCCUGCAAGUCUGGAGUGAAACGCAUGAGCUAAACUCAUGCAUGGCUUUUGAAACGGGAGGACUGGAGAGCAGGAGAGGGCGGUGGAACUCCAUGUGUAGCGGUAAAAUGCGUAGAUAUAUGGAAGAACACCAGUGGCGAAGGCGGCCGCCUGGCCUGUUGCUGACGCUGAGGCACGAAAGCGUGGGGAGCAAAUAGGAUUAGAUACCCGUGUAGUC